UGCUGGAGGCCAGGGCGAUGCCAUCAAGGGAAACUAUAUCUUUAGAUAAUGCGUCAUAGAGGUGCUUAGAGUUCAUUUGCGCAGAGUCAAAAACUUUCUCUUGAGGCGCCUCCCUGACGUUUUGCCUAACAUUCAUAUGCAUGCCUGGUUGAAUAUUCAAAUAGACAAGCUUUAUGCUUAUGUGCACUACGUUUCUGUUCUAUUCUGCUUUCAUGGCUCUUUCUUUCUUUCUUUCUUUCUCUCUCUUUUUCUCUCUCUCUCUUUCCCUCUCUCCCCAUGAUGAUGCAUUAAGGUUUAUUGGCUAAAAUAUCGGGGGCUAUAGAUUGACUCUGAACUAUCAUAUAAAAAGCAAAUAGACUAUAUGUGUAAAAAGGUUUGCUGUUCUAUCUGUGUUUUGUACAGAUCAAAGAACUGUUUCACCAUGAAUGUAAAAGAGAGGCUGGUAUCCCAGUUGUUAUUGCAUGUUCUCGACUACAGAGAUAUUGUGUAGCCUAUCAAAAUGCUUCAAAAACUGAUUUAGCAAAGGUUGAUAUCACAUUUAAUAGUUUAUGCAGAUUUAUUCUCACUUGUCACUUUCUGUCCUGUUAUCUCGGUGUCUGCCUUAGCUUCUGUCUGUGUUCCUUGUUGGUGUUAGUUCAUUUGUGAUCUGUCCACUUGUUUAUAUUACUCUGAUGUUCAGUGUUGAGUAACUUGUGUUUUGUCUUUUCCCCCCUCAGUAAUCUGCCUGCCUGCUAGUCUCCGUUUUCCCUUCUGUCUCUCUGCCUCGUUAACCCUGAUCCCAGUCACCUGUGUUGCUCCCGUCCUGCUCGUUAGUCACUGUGUAUAAAUGUCUGGUGUUUCUGUUCAUUUCCUGUCCAGUCAUUGUCUUGUGUCAGUCCUGUUGGAUGUUGCUGCUUUUUGGAUGUACCAGUUCCUGUACUCGUGAGUUCUGUUCAUGUGUGUUUGGAACUCAAUCACAGCUCACAGUGUCAUGCGUUUGGGCUCACUCCUGCUGCACUCACUCAGCAAACCCUGAUAAUAUGUACUAUAACUACGCAAACAGGCAAACAUCUCUCUCUCAUCUGUACAGCGUUCCUUACCAACCGCUCCAUGGUGGUGGCUAUAAACUGUCCAUGAGGAAAUGAUUUGAAAAAGAGAAGCAUUUGGAAAGAAAAGUGACACUCUCCUGGGAUGGGCUGUAAACCAUUGUGAAUUGCCACAUUGCCCCAUAUAAUUGCAAAAUGUCUGGAAUCUGCCUUACUUGUAUCUUUUCCUCACCUGGCACAAAUCUUUCAAAAAGGUCAUCAAGGAAUAAAAAUAGGCACUUAUCCUGA
This is a long non-coding RNA of Micropterus salmoides (largemouth bass), 1313 nucleotides long. RefSeq lists it as uncharacterized. The record is from RefSeq and is a predicted model, not a curated record. The transcript has 2 exons. Lineage: Eukaryota; Metazoa; Chordata; Actinopteri; Centrarchiformes; Centrarchidae.